ACGUAGGUGGCGAGCGUUGUUCGGAUUUAUUGGGCGUAAAGGGUCCGCAGGGGGUUUGUUAAGUCUGAUGUGAAAUCCCUGGGCUCAACCCCGGAAUUGCAUUGGAAACUGGCAGACUAGAGUGCUGGAGAGGUAAGCGGAAUUCCAGGUGUAGCGGUGGAAUGCGUAGAUAUCUGGAAGAACACCGAAAGCGAAGGCAGCUUACUGGACAGAUACUGACCCUCAGGGACGAAAGCGUGGGGAGCAAACAG
This 251-nucleotide ribosomal RNA is filed under the name uncultured prokaryote. Its description in RNAcentral is "partial 16S rRNA". It matches the Rfam family "Bacterial small subunit ribosomal RNA", at positions 525 to 775 of the family's 1533-position model. The record is from RNAcentral.